GAUGAAGAACGUAGCGAAAUGCGAUAAGUAAUGUGAAUUGCAGAAUUCCGUGAAUCAUCGAAUCUUUGAACGCACAUUGCGCCCUCUGGUAUUCCGGGGGGCAUGCCUGUCCGAGCGUCAUUUGCAACCCUCAAGCCCGGCUUGUGUGAUGGGUGCCGUCCCCUACGGGACGCGCCCCGAAGGCAAUGGCGGCGUCGCGGUUAUCCGAUCAGCCAAAGUGUAUGGGGCUUUGUCACUCACUUUACGGCCCGGACCGGCGCCAGUCCGAAUCAAUCUUUUUUCUAAAGUUGACCUCGGAUCAGGCAGGGAUACCCGCUGAACUUAAGCAUAUCAAAAGCGGAGGA
RNAcentral lists this unclassified non-coding RNA (344 nucleotides) under soil metagenome. Its description in RNAcentral is "partial contains 5.8S ribosomal RNA, internal transcribed spacer 2, and large subunit ribosomal RNA". The stretch from base 1 to 120 matches the Rfam family "5.8S ribosomal RNA", at positions 35 to 154 of the family's 154-position model. The record is from RNAcentral.